AUUUUUAUUUGCUUCUAUAUUCAGUGCUAGCACAAAGAAGACAGCCACAAAUUAAGUUUUCACCAUUGUUGCAGAGCAGGUUUUUUUUCGGCAAGGUGCGAAGGGAUUGAGUGAAGGUGCAGGUGAAGGAUUCAGUGCUGUGUUUGAAGUCCUGGGAGGGAUUGACAAGCCUUGCAGUGAAACCUGAACAGAACAUUGAUGCUGCUGCGUGAUCAAGCUUGUGAUUCCUUUUUUUUUUCCCUCUCUUUUUUUUUUUUGGAAGAAUUACCCUGCGAUGGUAUAGGCUCUAAAGUUUAAAGGUUAUACCAUUGUACAUGCAAUUAUAGACAAAAGGAAAGCAGUGCAAAGAUUUCCGGAACCUGAGCCGUAACCUGGAAAUAAGAAACAACAAAAGAGGUGCUCUUAUCAUGUGAACUUAUAUGUACAGUCUGGAAUGCAGUAAAAGUGAUUCAGAGAUAGAAUAAAUUAUAGCAGUUUUAAAAAAAAAAAGGUCUUGUUUUCACAAAUUUCAACCCUUGUCAAAGAGACAGCUGUUGGUAACCCAGUUAUGGAAUGUGCCUCUGGGCUUUUUCCCCCCCUUAUACUCUGAGCAAGUGCAAUGGCUGUUUAACUUUUACGUGUGUGGUGUUCAAGAGGUGUCCCAGACACUGAUAUCAAACUAAAUACCAAGUGAUUUCCAUUUCACAUCACUGCCUCGGUGCCUCCUGAGUGAUCGAACAGGGACCCUGUGACAUAUCCAACUCUGUCAAAAGGAGAAGCCACUGUGGCAGUCGGUUAAAAGUCGUCCUGUUCGGAGCUGUUUGACAUGCAAGUUUCAUACAUCUUGUUUGAUACGCUUCAGUUUUAUCGCCAAGUAUGCUGGAUGGUAUCUGUGGGGAAUAGAUGUUUUUCCAAUGAUUAAACAAGACAUGAAACAAUA
Long non-coding RNA from Stegastes partitus (bicolor damselfish), 919 nucleotides. RefSeq lists it as uncharacterized. Lineage: Eukaryota; Metazoa; Chordata; Actinopteri; Pomacentridae. The transcript is spliced from 3 exons. The record is from RefSeq and is a predicted model, not a curated record.